RNAcentral lists this ribosomal RNA (253 nucleotides) under uncultured bacterium. Its description in RNAcentral is "partial 16S ribosomal RNA". It matches the Rfam family "Bacterial small subunit ribosomal RNA", at positions 524 to 776 of the family's 1533-position model. The record is from RNAcentral.
GACGAACCACACAAACGUUAUUCGGAAUCACUGGGCUUAAAGGGUGCGUAGGCUGCGCAGCAAGUUGGGUGUGAAAUCCCUCGGCUCAACCGAGGAACUGCGCCCAAAACUGCUGUGCUCGAGGGAGAUAGAGGUGAGCGGAACUUAGGGUGGAGCGGUGAAAUGCGUUGAUAUCCUAAGGAACACCCGUGGCGAAAGCGGCUCACUGGAUCUCUUCUGACGCUGAGGCACGAAAGCUAGGGUAGCGAACGGG